AUUGAACGCUGGCGGCAUGCCUUACACAUGCAAGUCGAACGGCAGCACGGGAGUAAUCCUGGUGGCGAGUGGCGAACGGGUGAGUAAUGCAUCGGAACGUGCCCAGUCGUGGGGGAUAACGCAGCGAAAGCUGUGCUAAUACCGCAUACGAUCUAUGGAUGAAAGCGGGGGAUCGCAAGACCUCGAGCGAUUGGAGCGGCCGAUAUCAGAUUAGCUAGUGGGUGGGGUAAAAGCUUACCAAGGCGACGAUCUGUAGCGGGUCUGAGAGGACGACCAGCCACACUGGAACUGAGACACGGUCCAGACUCCUACGGGAGGCAGCAGUGGGGAAUUUUGGACAAUGGGCGCAAGCCUGAUCCAGCAAUGCCGCGUGCAGGAUGAAGGCCUUCGGGUUGUAAACUGCUUUUGUACGGAGCGAAAAGGCUCUCUCUAAUACGGGGGGCUCAUGACGGUACCGUAAGAAUAAGCACCGGCUAACUACGUGCCAGCCGCCGCCGUAA
RNAcentral lists this ribosomal RNA (500 nucleotides) under uncultured bacterium. RNAcentral describes it as "partial 16S ribosomal RNA". It matches the Rfam family "Bacterial small subunit ribosomal RNA", at positions 30 to 523 of the family's 1533-position model. The record is from RNAcentral.